RNAcentral lists this ribosomal RNA (467 nucleotides) under uncultured bacterium. RNAcentral describes it as "partial 16S ribosomal RNA". It matches the Rfam family "Bacterial small subunit ribosomal RNA", at positions 29 to 507 of the family's 1533-position model. The record is from RNAcentral.
ACGAACGCUGGCGGCGUGCUUAACACAUGCAAGUCGAACGGAAAGGCCCUGCUUUUGUGGGGUGCUCGAGUGGCGAACGGGUGAGUAACACGUGAGUAACCUGCCCUUGACUUUGGGAUAACUUCAGGGAACUGGGGCUAAUACCGGAUAGGAGCUCCUGCUGCAUGGUGGGGGUUGGAAAGUUUCGGCGGUUGGGGAUGGACUCGCGGCUUAUCAGCUUGUUGGUGGGGUAGUGGCUUACCAAGGCUUUGACGGGUAGCCGGCCUGAGGGGGUGACCGGCCACAUUGGGACUGAGAUACGGCCCAGACUCCUACGGGAGGCAGCAGUGGGGAAUAUUGCACAAUGGGCGGAAGCCUGAUGCAGCAACGCCGCGUGCGGGAUGACGGCCUUCGGGUUGUAAACCGCUUUCGCCUGUGACGAAGCGUGAGUGACGGUAAUGGGUAAAGAAGCACCGGCUAACUACGUG